GAUUUGAAUUAUAGAGUAGUAUUCAAUCUUUCAUAAAAUAUUGAUUUCAGUUCUAUGGUCCCCCGGGUAUUUUCAGGAGGGCAGCACCAGUAAGGGCUUCAUUUCUGGAGACAAGCAGCUUGGAAAGUGAGAAUCUGAGAACUGUUUUACAAAAAUAGGAUUUUCUCUAGAUUUUCGUGGUGAACCCUAUACGCCAUUGCAGUGAGGGAUGUCCCAGACCUUGGAUAUUAACCCCUUGUGGCGAAGAGGGCCUCUCAGAGUCAUUGACUGAUAGUGAUUGAUUGCUUUAACCCUGUGUUUGUUGAAGACAGCACCUGUUGAAUAUAAGGGACCGCCCUGUGAACUCCGUUUGAAGUUGCAAUGUUCUAUGGUCCCCCGGGUAUUUUCAGGAGGGCAGCACCAGUAAGGGCUUCAUUUCUGGAGACAAGCAGCUUGGAAAGUGAGAAUCUGAG
Lineus longissimus is the source of this 452-nucleotide long non-coding RNA. RefSeq lists it as uncharacterized. The transcript has 3 exons. NCBI's taxonomy places the organism in Eukaryota, Metazoa, Nemertea, Pilidiophora, Heteronemertea, Lineidae. The record is from RefSeq and is a predicted model, not a curated record.